GGGGGGGCACAUGGAGAGGGCUUUCUCGUCGCAGGGCUCGCAGUGCACGAAGGAGCCCAGGCUCUGGGCCGGCCCCGCAUAGGCGGCCAGCAGCAGGAGGACCGCGCUGCCAGCGGUGCGCGGCGCCGCAGAACAGGUUCUACGCGAAGUCCGGAGAAGGGUGAAAACGGAGGAGGGGUAAUGAAAAGGAGCAAAAAAGGGAAAAAGCCCACACUGCUUUGCAGCUCUUUCCUAGCUCUUUUCCCCUGCAGAAGUUUCCAAAGAGACUACGGGGCUCCGGGAGAGCAGGCGCUUUUAAAUAGCCGGCCCCUGGCUGCCAGCCAGUUUGUAGCUGCAAUUUGAGCUUCCCAACACCCAACUCAGACAGGGUUUCACCAUGUUGGCCAGGCUGGUCUUGAAAUCCUGACCUUGUGAUCCACCCACCUUGGCCCCCCAAAGUGCUGGGAUUACAGUCAUGAGCCACCGCGCCCAGCUGAAGAUUUUGUUAAAAGAGAAGUAGAGUGGGACAGAUAACAGCUCACCUCCCAUGCAUGCCAUCCCCGCAUCCUCUUCCCUGGACAGAGGUAGUCAGUGUCCUGAAAUAGCUCUGUAUCCUUUCUGCACAAUAUUUUUCUAGGUUUUAUGUGUAGUUUCUCAUAGAACAGAAUUAUAGUGAUUUUUGAGGGUAAAACCAUGUGCUACUUUAGAGUUAAUUUUGUAGUGGUGCUUGCAGUGGUGGCAAUUUAACUAGAGUCUAAAUUGACCCUGAGGCUGGCUGUUAAAGGAGCCGGAGCCAGCUGUGACGCAGAGUGAUUUAUAUCCCGAUGUGAGCCGCAUAUAAGUUAAUAGCUGCACGAAUUGAUGUUAAGGAGGCUUCUGGAGCAGUUCCAGACAGAUAGGGCAGAGCAGGGCAGGCUCCAUAAAUACUGUUUCUGGUUGGAGCCCUUCUGUCUUCUUGGAUCAUGGGAUCUGGCAUGUUCCUACAAUGGACCGCUCAGAAGCUGUUUCAAUUUUGGAAAAUGAGAUUAACCAGGAAAAGUGAUCUGUUGUGACUUAGAGACAGUGUUGGUAGCACCAGAUCUAGGUGGGAGAGAGAUAGGGUAGGUAGAAAAAAUGGAAUCACAUGGAAAAAGAGGAGAGAGAGAGAGAGAGUGUUAACUACUUGAAGCAGGUUUAAUAUGAUUCAUAUGAACCGUGAAAAGGCCAAGUAAAAUCACAGUGCAUGGUUAGCAACUGAGAUUUCACACAGUUUGGGAGGGAGAAGUGGUAAGAGCUAGCUUACCACUGUUAGUGCAGAGGGUAAAUUUGUGUAAAUUAGGAAAAGAUGACCUUCCUCAAGAUACUUUACUUCUAUUCAUCAGAAUAUUGUUAUAAAAUACAGAUUCUGUUAGGACAGGAAACUUUACUGCCUCUUCCAGGAAAUUGUCAUAAUGAAUGUACCUGUCUGUGUCUGCUCUGUGAAUAGCACCACUUAAACGGGGUUCUUGCUGUGUCGUACACAAUCUGCACAGCUCUAUGCAAUGGCCCUGGUUGGAAGAGCUAAACUUCAUAUCUAAACUAGCAGGAAACACUGCUUUUCUACUAGUGUGGAAAGCAUGGGUCCAGUGACGUGAUUUGAUCCGUUACUGGGGCUAAGGGAUAGUCCUGAAACAUUUAAAGCAGCUGCCUCUGGCCGUGUUCCCAGCUGGGUCAAUCUAAACCCCUAUGCCCUUCUUUCCUUAGAGAAAUCAAGCUUUUCCAUGCCUCCACACCUGUGCACAAACUCUUCAUUCUGACAGGAACACUUUUCUUCUUCACUGCUAACUGGUGAGCUGCUAAUUGUCAUUAAAAACCUGGAUGAAAUCACAUCUACUUUGGAAGAUUUUGCUGACUCUCGUGUGUGAUUUCCUAAGUGCAUCUUGCUAGUGCCCCUGGAAUCCUCUGUGUCUUCUUUAGUAAAAUAGGGGGAAAAUAUUGUCUGCUUCAAAGGGUUGUCGUGGGACUUGAGUGAGGCAGUCCGUGUAUAUCUUGUUAGUGCUUAAUCAAUAUUACCUGCUGUAGUCCCAUCUUCCCCAUUAAACUGAGGAUCUUGAAGGGCCCCAGGUUUUAUUCAUCUUGGUUUUCCUCCUAUCCUUACCUUUUGGACAUGAGCCCUUAGUAUAGUUUCUAGCACAGAAGGCACUUAAUACAUUAUUUUUAACUGAAAAACAUUGAGUGUGGUGGCUCUUGCCUAUUAUCUCAGCACUUUGAGAAGCCGAGGUGGGGAGAUCACCUGAGGCCAGGAGUUCAAGACCAGCCUAGGCAACAUGGUAAAACCCUGUCUCUACAAAAAAUACAAAAAUUAGCUGGGCAUGGUAGCCCACGCCUGUAGUCCCAGCUGCUCAGGAGGCUGGGGUGGGAUGAUCACCCAAGCCUAGGGAGGUCAAGGCUGCAGUGAGCCGUGAUUGCGUCACUGCACUCCAUCUUGGGUGACAGAGUUUGACCCUGUCUUAAAAAAACAAAAAGAAAGAAAAAUAUUUACCACCCCUGAAUUAUUCCAGCGUCUUCCAACAUCUUCCUAAACGCCUGAGUUUAUCUUUGCAUCAUUUUGCCGGACUGUUGGUAAUGUCUAUGUUGAUGUGUUUCUAUUAUGUUCUUUCAUAUACUAGUCUGGUCAAUCCUGUAUAUUGCAAAUGUAGCUUAUAAACUCUUUACAAAAAUUCCAAUAGAGCCCUAUUGUUGGACUUAAAAUAUGUUAAUUGUAAUGUAACUUAAAUAUGUACAAACAUUUUAAGGUGUAUGCUCUGUAUGCUAACCUCAC
Homo sapiens (human) is the source of this 2758-nucleotide long non-coding RNA. Ensembl annotates it as testicular germ cell expressed HSF2 interacting lncRNA. Its record names the gene TESHL. NCBI's taxonomy places the organism in Eukaryota, Metazoa, Chordata, Mammalia, Primates, Hominidae. The record is from Ensembl.